GGCGAGGUGACCGUCAGGCAGGCCCCGGAAAGCGGAAGGUCGGCGGUUCGAUCCCGCCCCUGGCCACCA
RNAcentral lists this transfer RNA (69 nucleotides) under Mycobacterium intracellulare. RNAcentral describes it as "tRNA-Phe". RNAcentral also lists the same sequence under 1 other name. The record is from RNAcentral. Lineage: Bacteria; Bacillati; Actinomycetota; Actinomycetes; Mycobacteriales; Mycobacteriaceae.